Long non-coding RNA from Haliotis rubra (blacklip abalone), 1220 nucleotides. RefSeq lists it as uncharacterized. Lineage: Eukaryota; Metazoa; Mollusca; Gastropoda; Lepetellida; Haliotidae. The record is from RefSeq and is a predicted model, not a curated record. The transcript is spliced from 2 exons.
UCAAGGAGAUGAAGUAAGUGUUGAGAUGACACAGAAGCAAUGACACUCAUUGGUUAGAUGGUCCAACUUGUUGAAGAAUGUUGCUUGUAUGUACGUCAUCUAUUGCCGUGUUUGACAGUGUUAUUGCAAGAGAAAUCCAUGCUAAAGUGUGUUCAUGUUUAAUAACGAUAACAGUAAAACCUUCUGUUGACUUAAUGGUAAAUUUGAAGUAACUGAUCAGUUCUGAGCAAAUUGAAUGCGUUUGGGUUAAAGCCUUGGUUUGUCACACCGAAGACCCGAGUUUGAGUCCCCACAUUGUUAAGCCCAUUUCUGAUGCCCCACGCUGUAAUAAUGCUGGAAUAUUGAUACAAAAGGCCAAAAAGGGAUUUCACUCACUCAUUCAUUGUCCGAUGACACCAAUAAUGGUUGAUGUGGGAUUAUAAACAUGAUCGGACCAUAAGAUCUUUCUCUUGCUGUGAUAUUGCUAGAAGCGGCAUAUACUUAAAACUCAUUCACUCACUCAUCUGAUAUCAGAGGAAGUGCAGUAGCCUAGUGGUUAAAGCAUUUGCUCGUAACAACAAAGGCAUGAGUUUGAUUCCUGACAAGGGUACAAUGUGUAAAGCCCAAUUUUGUUGUCCCUUGACAAUAAUAUUGCAGGAAUGUUACUAAAAACAGUGCUAAACCAUGCCCACUCAUGUUUGAUAUCAAAUAUUUCAACUCUGACUGAUAAUAUGCUUUAUGGACCUGUAUGGAUAUAUUUCAUAUCUAAAGACCAUAUGGGUAGUCUCAAUCCUAUUAUCAGGUAUCAACUGGACAUUGUAAUUAAAACAAAUUCUAUCUGCAUUAUUUAUCUACCAAAAACGUCAAUUGUUUUGUUGUGAAAUUGUUUGCAAUUGAAGGGGAGAUAACUCUAAAGUUGACUUGCAAUAUAUAUAUCAUUUAGUAUGUUAACUGCCAAAAUAAGUUUAUAAUUGCAUGAUGUUUCCUUGAACUAAAACAUGAAAAACUAUACCCUGUUGUUAGUUGGUAUUUGACUUGACUGUGAUUCAUGUAAAAUAUUCUGUGAAAGCUGUAAUUGUAAAGUUAAGACUGAUGGUCCAAAGUGCCUCAUUAGUUGCCAAGACCAUACAUAAAUUAUCUUGUUUGAAUGAAUAGUAUGCAUGCUUGCUAUAUUUUCAUAGGUAUCUGUGUUCAUAUACCUUGUGGAUACUGUUAAUUUAGACUAAACAUUUCUUGUAAAA